ACGUGUGAGAGCAGGGAUUGCAGUCUAACUGUUAACUAGAAAGGAUGAACAUCAUACACACGAA
RNAcentral lists this transfer RNA (64 nucleotides) under Scutopus ventrolineatus. Its description in RNAcentral is "tRNA-Asn". The record is from RNAcentral. Lineage: Eukaryota; Metazoa; Mollusca; Caudofoveata; Limifossorida; Scutopodidae.